This 440-nucleotide ribosomal RNA is filed under the name Leucosporidium fragarium. RNAcentral's name for it is "partial large subunit ribosomal RNA". It matches the Rfam family "Eukaryotic large subunit ribosomal RNA", at positions 143 to 595 of the family's 3401-position model. Lineage: Eukaryota; Fungi; Basidiomycota; Microbotryomycetes; Leucosporidiales; Leucosporidiaceae. The record is from RNAcentral.
UUGUAAUCUCGAGAAGUAUUUUCCGCGCCGGACCGCAUACAAGUCUGUUGGAAUACAGCGUCAUAGUGGUGAGAACCCCGUAACUGAUGCGGAUGCCCGGUGCUUUGUGAUAUACUUUCGAAGAGUCGAGUUGUUUGGGAAUGCAGCUCAAAUUGGGUGGUAAAUUCCAUCUAAAGCUAAAUAUUGGAGCAAGACCGAUAGCGAACAAGUACCGUGAGGGAAAGAUGAAAAGCACUUUGGAAAGAGAGUUAACAGUACGUGAAAUUGUUGGAAGGGAAACGCUUGAAGUCAGACUUGCUAUUCGGAGUUCAGCCGCAAGGUGUAUUCUUCGAUUCGCAGGCCAGCAUCAGUUUUCGGGGGUGGAAAAUCGCGGUUUGAAGGUAGCAACUUCGGUUGUGUUAUAGCUUUCCGCUGGAUUCAUCCUUGGGGACUGAGGAACG